GACGAACGCUGGCGGCGUGCCUAACACAUGCAAGUCGAGCGGGGAAAACCCUUCGGGGUUUUUCCAGCGGCGGACGGGUGAGUAACGCGUGAGCAAUCUGUCCCAUACAGGGGGAUAACAACUGGAAACAGUUGCUAAUACCGCAUGAGACCACAGAGUCGCAUGGCUUAGGGGUCAAAGGAGCAAUCCGGUAUGGGGUGAGCUCGCGUCCGAUUAGAUAGUUGGUGAGGUAACGGCCCACCAAGUCAACGAUCGGUAGCCGACCUGAGAGGGUGAUCGGCCACAUUGGAACUGAGACACGGCCCAGACUCCUACGGGAGGCAGCAGUGGGGGGAUAUUGCACAAUGGGGGAAACCCUACGAUGCAGCAACGCCGCGUGAGGGAAGAAGGUCUUCGGAUUGUAAACCUAAAGUUG
Molecule: ribosomal RNA, 415 nt
Filed under: uncultured bacterium
Lineage: Bacteria
Description: bacterial SSU rRNA
Rfam family: Bacterial small subunit ribosomal RNA
Source: RNAcentral